This 2923-nucleotide ribosomal RNA is filed under the name Bacillus cereus. RNAcentral describes it as "23S ribosomal RNA". It matches the Rfam family "Bacterial large subunit ribosomal RNA". Lineage: Bacteria; Bacillati; Bacillota; Bacilli; Caryophanales; Bacillaceae. RNAcentral also lists the same sequence under 1 other name. The record is from RNAcentral.
GGUUAAGUUAGAAAGGGCGCACGGUGGAUGCCUUGACACUAGGAGUCGAUGAAGGACGGGACUAACGCCGAUAUGCUUCGGGGAGCUGUAAGUAAGCUUUGAUCCGAAGAUUUCCGAAUGGGGAAACCCACCAUACGUAAUGGUAUGGUAUCCUUAUCUGAAUACAUAGGAUAAGGAAGACAGACCCAGGGAACUGAAACAUCUAAGUACCUGGAGGAAGAGAAAGCAAAUGCGAUUUCCUGAGUAGCGGCGAGCGAAACGGAACAUAGCCCAAACCAAGAGGCUUGCCUCUUGGGGUUGUAGGACAUUCUAUACGGAGUUACAAAGGAACGAGGUAGACGAAGCGACCUGGAAAGGUCCGUCGUAGAGGGUAACAACCCCGUAGUCGAAACUUCGUUCUCUCUUGAAUGUAUCCUGAGUACGGCGGAACACGUGAAAUUCCGUCGGAAUCUGGGAGGACCAUCUCCCAAGGCUAAAUACUCCCUAGUGAUCGAUAGUGAACCAGUACCGUGAGGGAAAGGUGAAAAGCACCCCGGAAGGGGAGUGAAAGAGAUCCUGAAACCGUGUGCCUACAAAUAGUCAGAGCCCGUUAACGGGUGAUGGCGUGCCUUUUGUAGAAUGAACCGGCGAGUUACGAUCCCGUGCGAGGUUAAGCUGAAGAGGCGGAGCCGCAGCGAAAGCGAGUCUGAAUAGGGCGUUUAGUACGUGGUCGUAGACCCGAAACCAGGUGAUCUACCCAUGUCCAGGGUGAAGUUCAGGUAACACUGAAUGGAGGCCCGAACCCACGCACGUUGAAAAGUGCGGGGAUGAGGUGUGGGUAGCGGAGAAAUUCCAAUCGAACCUGGAGAUAGCUGGUUCUCCCCGAAAUAGCUUUAGGGCUAGCCUUAAGUGUAAGAGUCUUGGAGGUAGAGCACUGAUUGGACUAGGGGUCCUCAUCGGAUUACCGAAUUCAGUCAAACUCCGAAUGCCAAUGACUUAUCCUUAGGAGUCAGACUGCGAGUGAUAAGAUCCGUAGUCAAAAGGGAAACAGCCCAGACCGCCAGCUAAGGUCCCAAAGUGUGUAUUAAGUGGAAAAGGAUGUGGAGUUGCUUAGACAACUAGGAUGUUGGCUUAGAAGCAGCCACCAUUUAAAGAGUGCGUAAUAGCUCACUAGUCGAGUGACUCUGCGCCGAAAAUGUACCGGGGCUAAAUACACCACCGAAGCUGCGGAUUGAUACCGAAUGGUAUCAGUGGUAGGGGAGCGUUCUAAGGACAGUGAAGUCAGACCGUAAGGACUGGUGGAGUGCUUAGAAGUGAGAAUGCCGGUAUGAGUAGCGAAAGACGGGUGAGAAUCCCGUCCACCGAAUGCCUAAGGUUUCCUGAGGAAGGCUCGUCCGCUCAGGGUUAGUCAGGACCUAAGCCGAGGCCGACAGGCGUAGGCGAUGGACAACAGGUUGAUAUUCCUGUACCACCUCUUUAUCGUUUGAGCAAUGGAGGGACGCAGAAGGAUAGAAGAAGCGUGCGAUUGGUUGUGCACGUCCAAGCAGUUAGGCUGAUAAGUAGGCAAAUCCGCUUAUCAUAAAGGCUGAGCUGUGAUGGGGAAGCUCCUUAUGGAGCGAAGUCUUUGAUUCCCCGCUGCCAAGAAAAGCUUCUAGCGAGAUAAAAGGUGCCUGUACCGCAAACCGACACAGGUAGGCGAGGAGAGAAUCCUAAGGUGUGCGAGAGAACUCUGGUUAAGGAACUCGGCAAAAUGACCCCGUAACUUCGGGAGAAGGGGUGCUUUCUUAACGGAAAGCCGCAGUGAAUAGGCCCAAGCGACUGUUUAGCAAAAACACAGCUCUCUGCGAAGCCGUAAGGCGAAGUAUAGGGGGUGACACCUGCCCGGUGCUGGAAGGUUAAGGAGAGGGGUUAGCGUAAGCGAAGCUCUGAACUGAAGCCCCAGUAAACGGCGGCCGUAACUAUAACGGUCCUAAGGUAGCGAAAUUCCUUGUCGGGUAAGUUCCGACCCGCACGAAAGGUGUAACGAUUUGGGCACUGUCUCAACCAGAGACUCGGUGAAAUUAUAGUACCUGUGAAGAUGCAGGUUACCCGCGACAGGACGGAAAGACCCCGUGGAGCUUUACUGUAGCCUGAUAUUGAAUUUUGGUACAGUUUGUACAGGAUAGGCGGGAGCCAUUGAAACCGGAGCGCUAGCUUCGGUGGAGGCGCUGGUGGGAUACCGCCCUGACUGUAUUGAAAUUCUAACCUACGGGUCUUAUCGACCCGGGAGACAGUGUCAGGUGGGCAGUUUGACUGGGGCGGUCGCCUCCUAAAGUGUAACGGAGGCGCCCAAAGGUUCCCUCAGAAUGGUUGGAAAUCAUUCGUAGAGUGCAAAGGCAUAAGGGAGCUUGACUGCGAGACCUACAAGUCGAGCAGGGACGAAAGUCGGGCUUAGUGAUCCGGUGGUUCCGCAUGGAAGGGCCAUCGCUCAACGGAUAAAAGCUACCCCGGGGAUAACAGGCUUAUCUCCCCCAAGAGUCCACAUCGACGGGGAGGUUUGGCACCUCGAUGUCGGCUCAUCGCAUCCUGGGGCUGUAGUCGGUCCCAAGGGUUGGGCUGUUCGCCCAUUAAAGCGGUACGCGAGCUGGGUUCAGAACGUCGUGAGACAGUUCGGUCCCUAUCCGUCGUGGGCGUAGGAAAUUUGAGAGGAGCUGUCCUUAGUACGAGAGGACCGGGAUGGACGCACCGCUGGUGUACCAGUUGUUCUGCCAAGGGCAUAGCUGGGUAGCUAUGUGCGGAAGGGAUAAGUGCUGAAAGCAUCUAAGCAUGAAGCCCCCCUCAAGAUGAGAUUUCCCAUAGCGUAAGCUAGUAAGAUCCCUGAAAGAUGAUCAGGUUGAUAGGUUCGAGGUGGAAGCAUGGUGACAUGUGGAGCUGACGAAUACUAAUAGAUCGAGGACUUAACCAU